AUACGUAGGGGGCAAGCGUUGUCCGGAAUGAUUGGGCGUAAAGGGCGCGUAGGCGGCCCGGUAAGUCUGGAGUGAAAGUCCUGUUUUUAAGAUGGGAAUUGCUUUGGAUACUGUCGGGCUUGAGUGCAGGAGAGGAAAGUGGAAUUCCCAGUGUAGCGGUGAAAUGCGUAGAUAUUGGGAGGAACACCAGUGGCGAAGGCGACUUACUGGACUGUAACUGACGCUGAGGCGCGAAAGUGUGGGGAGCAAACAGGAUUAGAUACCCUGGUAGUCCACACUGUAAACGAUGAAUGCUAGGUGUAGGGGGUAUCGACCCCUUCUGUGCCGCAGUCAACGCAAUAAGCAUUCCGCCUGGGGAGUACGGCCGCAAGGUUGAAACUCAAAGGAAUUGACGGGG
RNAcentral lists this ribosomal RNA (397 nucleotides) under uncultured bacterium. RNAcentral describes it as "partial 16S ribosomal RNA". It matches the Rfam family "Bacterial small subunit ribosomal RNA", at positions 523 to 918 of the family's 1533-position model. The record is from RNAcentral.